UACGUAGGGGGCAAGCGUUGUCCGGAAUCAUUGGGCGUAAAGCGCACGUAGGCGGCUUCGCAAGUCGGAUGUGAAAUCCCUCGGCUCAACCAAGGACGUGCAUCCGAAACUGCAAAGCUUGAGUACAGAAGAGGAUCGCGGAAUUCCCGGUGUAGAGGUGAAAUUCGUAGAUAUCGGGAGGAACACCAGUGGCGAAGGCGGCGAUCUGGGCUGAUACUGACGCUGAGGUGCGAAAGCGUGGGGAGCAAACAGG
Molecule: ribosomal RNA, 253 nt
Filed under: uncultured bacterium
Lineage: Bacteria
Description: partial 16S ribosomal RNA
Rfam family: Bacterial small subunit ribosomal RNA
Source: RNAcentral